GAUGAACGCUAGCGGCAGGCUUAACACAUGCAAGUCGAGGGGUAGAGGAAGCUUGCUUCCUUGAGACCGGCGCACGGGUGCGUAACGCGUAUGCAACCUACCUUUUACAGAGGGAUAGCCCAGAGAAAUUUGGAUUAAUACCUCAUGGUAUAUAUCAUUCGCAUGUUUGAUAUAUUAAAGUUCCAACGGUAAAAGAUGGGCAUGCGUCCUAUUAGCUAGAUGGUAAGGUAACGGCUUACCAUGGCAACGAUAGGUAGGGGUCCUGAGAGGGAGAUCCCCCACACUGGUACUGAGACACGGACCAGACUCCUACGGGAGGCAGCAGUGAGGAAUAUUGGACAAUGAACGCAAGUCUGAUCCAGCCAUGCCGCGUGAGUGAAGAAGGGCCCUUCGGGUUGGUUAAAACUACUUUUGUCAGGGAAGAAACAAGCAGACUCUAACACAGUCUGCGAAUGACGGUACCU
RNAcentral lists this ribosomal RNA (464 nucleotides) under uncultured bacterium. Its description in RNAcentral is "bacterial SSU rRNA". It matches the Rfam family "Bacterial small subunit ribosomal RNA", at positions 28 to 480 of the family's 1533-position model. The record is from RNAcentral.